CCUACGGGUGGCAGCAGUGGGGAAUAUUGGACAAUGGGCGAAAGCCUGAUCCAGCCAUGCCGCGUGUGUGAAGAAGGCCUUCGGGUUGUAAAGCACUUUCAGUGGGGAAGAAAGCCUUGGGGCUAAUACCCUCGAGGAAGGACAUCACCCACAGAAGAAGCACCGGCUAACUCCGUGCCAGCAGCCGCGGUAAUACGGAGGGUGCGAGCGUUAAUCGGAAUUACUGGGCGUAAAGCGCGCGUAGGCGGUCUGAUAAGCCGGUUGUGAAAGCCCCGGGCUCAACCUGGGAACGGCAUCCGGAACUGUCAGGCUAGAGUGCAGGAGAGGAAGGUAGAAUUCCCGGUGUAGCGGUGAAAUGCGUAGAGAUCGGGAGGAAUUCCAGUGGCGAAGGCGGCCUUCUGGACUGACACUGACGCUGAGGUGCGAAAGCGUGGGUAGCAAACAGGAUUAGAUACCCCGGUAGUC
RNAcentral lists this ribosomal RNA (465 nucleotides) under Vreelandella stevensii. RNAcentral describes it as "partial 16S ribosomal RNA". It matches the Rfam family "Bacterial small subunit ribosomal RNA", at positions 338 to 795 of the family's 1533-position model. The record is from RNAcentral. Lineage: Bacteria; Pseudomonadati; Pseudomonadota; Gammaproteobacteria; Oceanospirillales; Halomonadaceae.